RNAcentral lists this ribosomal RNA (866 nucleotides) under Escherichia coli. RNAcentral describes it as "partial 23S ribosomal RNA". It matches the Rfam family "Bacterial large subunit ribosomal RNA", at positions 418 to 1283 of the family's 2925-position model. Lineage: Bacteria; Pseudomonadati; Pseudomonadota; Gammaproteobacteria; Enterobacterales; Enterobacteriaceae. The record is from RNAcentral.
CGGGACACGUGGUAUCCUGUCUGAAUAUGGGGGGACCAUCCUCCAAGGCUAAAUACUCCUGACUGACCGAUAGUGAACCAGUACCGUGAGGGAAAGGCGAAAAGAACCCCGGCGAGGGGAGUGAAAAAGAACCUGAAACCGUGUACGUACAAGCAGUGGGAGCACGCUUAGGCGUGUGACUGCGUACCUUUUGUAUAAUGGGUCAGCGACUUAUAUUCUGUAGCAAGGUUAACCGAAUAGGGGAGCCGAAGGGAAACCGAGUCUUAACUGGGCGUUAAGUUGCAGGGUAUAGACCCGAAACCCGGUGAUCUAGCCAUGGGCAGGUUGAAGGUUGGGUAACACUAACUGGAGGACCGAACCGACUAAUGUUGAAAAAUUAGCGGAUGACUUGUGGCUGGGGGUGAAAGGCCAAUCAAACCGGGAGAUAGCUGGUUCUCCCCGAAAGCUAUUUAGGUAGCGCCUCGUGAAUUCAUCUCCGGGGGUAGAGCACUGUUUCGGCAAGGGGGUCAUCCCGACUUACCAACCCGAUGCAAACUGCGAAUACCGGAGAAUGUUAUCACGGGAGACACACGGCGGGUGCUAACGUCCGUCGUGAAGAGGGAAACAACCCAGACCGCCAGCUAAGGUCCCAAAGUCAUGGUUAAGUGGGAAACGAUGUGGGAAGGCCCAGACAGCCAGGAUGUUGGCUUAGAAGCAGCCAUCAUUUAAAGAAAGCGUAAUAGCUCACUGGUCGAGUCGGCCUGCGCGGAAGAUGUAACGGGGCUAAACCAUGCACCGAAGCUGCGGCAGCGACGCUGAUGCGUUGUUGGGUAGGGGAGCGUUCUGUAAGCCUGUGAAGGUGUGCUGUGAGGCAUGCUGGAGGUAUC